GCCCUAAUCCUCUGCCGUAAUUCGCGUCUUCCAGACCUUCCUAUCUAGGGUCAUGUCCUCGGUGAGCUGUAACUGUUCCAUGUCCCGCCUAAUCACCUCACCCCAGUACUUCUUCGGCCUACCCCUACCCCUCCUAAAACCAUCCAACGCUAGGCUCUCACACCUACGGACCGGGGCAUCCAUGCCCCUCCUCUUCACGUGUCCGAACCAUCUCAAUCGUGCUUCCCGCAUCUUGCACUCCACUGAAGUCACACAAACCUUCUCCCGGAUAGUCUCAUUCUGAACUCUAUCCCCUCUAGUCAGUCCACACAUCCAGCGCAACAUCAGCAUUUCUGCCACAUUCAGUUUUUGGAUGUGGGAGUUCUUAACUGGCCAACACUCCACUCCAUACAACAAGGCCGGACGGACUACCACCCUGUAGAAUUUGCCGUUAAGCUUGGGCGACACCUUCUUAUCGCACAGCACCCC
Molecule: long non-coding RNA, 468 nt
Filed under: Capsicum annuum
Lineage: Eukaryota; Viridiplantae; Streptophyta; Magnoliopsida; Solanales; Solanaceae
Description: long non-coding RNA (CANN_LNC007387)
Source: RNAcentral